UACUAUUUAGACGGUGCUGCUAUAUCCCUGACUCUGACUGAUCCGUAACAUGAAAAUAAUUCCUGUCUCAUGUAGAUGCCGUGAAGUUGAAAUGAAAUUAAAUGGGAUAAUUUACAUAAUAUACAGCAUUGUGAUCCUAGGUGUGCGCAAUCUUAGUGUCUGACUUAAUUUAGAAAUGUAAGCUCUACCGGGAUCUAAUAAAAGUGUUCACCUCCUGAGCAAGAAUAACACUGGGCAGCUACAGGGUUAUUUUUCAUUCUUACAUUCUAGCCAGCAAAAUAAUUCUUCUGAACUGAAUAUAUACUGUGGGCCAGACAUUUUGUUGGUGUCUAAAAAAACAGAGUAAUAAUAAUAAUAAUUAGCACACAACAGCUGUGGCCAGUGUGGCUCAGUUGGUAGAGCAUCAUCCUGAGCACAGAAAGGUUGUGGGUUCGAUUCCCAGUCCGGGCACCUGUCCCGGUUGUGGGUUUGGUCCCUGGUUGGGGUGCGUAGGGGAGGCAACCAGUCGAUGUUUCUCUCUAGUAUCGAUGUUUUUCUCUCUCUCCCUCUCCCUUCCUCUCUCUCUAAAAUCAAUAGAAAUAUAUUUUAAAACAAUAACAAAGUACUUGCCCUCAUGUAGCUCACAGUCUAGUGAGGGUGAGAGACAAGACAGCAGAUUUUUAGUUGAGUCAAGGUCUCUCAAUAACAUGUUGGGUCCUCGGUGAGAGGAAGCACUGAACUGAGAUGGGACACGAUUGGAGGUGAGGUGGUUAAGGAAGGCUCCUGCAAGAGGUGAUGCUGGAACUAAGUCUUGAAGGAAGAGUAGAAAUUAUCGACAAAGGAAGGGAAAAGAAAGCUCAGUCCAGGCAGAGGGAGCAGCGAUACAAAAAUCCUGGGGUGCAAAGAGCAGUCCCAUUCUAGGAAGAGCAAAUUGCCUGACAAGGGUAGAGAGUGAGCACAUUUAGUGGGAGGCAAGCAAAGAGACAGGAAAAACAAGGCAGCCUCGUGUCAUGAAGGGAGAUGGAUGCCGGCUGAGGGACCUUGAUUUUAUCCCGAAGGCGAUGGUAAGUCAUGGAAAGCUGCAAGCAGAGGAAUGACCUGCUGGCCUUGGUCUGCUCACUCUGGAGGCCGUGUGGAGGAGGGGCUGGAGGACAGGAGACCGGGAGGGCACUAUUCCAGAAAUGUAGGCAAGACAUUCUGGAGCUACACUGAGGCCACGGGGAAGGUGACCCCACAAUCUUAGAUCCACAUACAAAUUGACAAAUGUAUCCUACCCUGUAGUAGAUGCUCAUUAAGAAAAGGCACCUGCAGACUCGUUCUCUCUUCCUCUCCCUCUCUCCCUCUCUCUCUCUCUCUCUCUUUCUGGAACACACCCGUGCCUUUCCCACCCCCUUCUCAGGCACACUCCCUCUGGAGCACGCCCACACCUUUCCCCCUCUCCUUACCCCAGGCUCGCUUCCUUCGCCUUCUCCCUCCUAAGCUCCAAGGGCACUCCUUUGGCCUCUAUAACUUGUUUCCUGAGCCCACGCAGCCCAGCUGGCUCACUUCUUCUGCCUCUGUGACUUGCUAAAUAAACUUUUGCUUGUAAAAUAAAAAGAGAAAAGGCAUCUGCCUACGUCCAAUCCCUCAGGGUGGGAGGACCUAUUAAAGGUGCUGCAGCAAGGAAGGGCACAGACGUAAACUUUGGAAUGUAGGACCUUCUAGGUCCUAGAAGGAGGGCCCCCAAAAUAUUUAUACAGAUAAUUUCUAGGUGGCAGGAUGUUGGGUGAUUUGUAUAAUUCUUUCUCCAAUGAAUGAGUUGUUUAUGUAUUUUUUUUUUUUUUUAAGAAUUAAAUGAUGAAAAGAAAUCAACCCAAGAACUUUGGCUCUAAGGCAGCGGUUCUCAACCUGUGGGUCGCGACCCCUUUGGCGGUCGAACGACCUUUUCACAGGGGUCGCCUAAGACCAUCCUGCAUAUCAGAUGUUUACAUGACGAUUCAUAACAGUAGCAACAUGACAGUUAUGAAGUAGCAACGAAAAUAAUUUUAUGGUUGGGUCACCACAUGAGGAGCUGUAUUUAAAGGGCCAGGAGGUUGAGAACCGCUGCAGGGGAAUCGGGAAAUCCAGGACAUUCAUCGGACACUAGAGGAUGGAUAGUUCAGAGGUCAAGACCCAGUUUGGAGUCCGUGAGGGUGAGAAGAUUUGGGCUCAGACAGGAGAAUAAGUGCCUCUAUUUUAGGGGGAUCCUGGUGAGCAGAGUUGAGCUUGUCAAGAAGGCAGUGAGGGCACCCCCCAAAAGAUGUGACGACGUGCCAGGGGAGCAUUUGGUAGAGGGAUGGGGAGCGCGUGCUCCGUGCGCAGGCAGAUUUUCAGUGGGUGGCUGAAAGACAGGAGGGGAAGGAUUGUGUAACCAAGUUGUGGGGAAGGAGAAUAGUAGCCUAUUGUUGGAGACCCGAUAAACACAUCUUGGGGGCGUGGGCUUGACAUAAGUUCCAAGACAGCUUAAUGAUCCGUCACCAGUCCUCUCCUAGGAUGAGUCACUGGAGAAUUAGAUUAACCCAGUUCAGCCUCCCUUGCCCCUGCUUCUGCAACACAGCCGCUGAGAUAGGGCGGCCGGACUCCUCUCACAACGGAGCCUCCGGCCUGUCCAGUGGGGGAGAUAAAGCCAGCCAGCCUCAUCGAUCAUCCUUGGGCAGCCCCAGUCUCCCCUUCACUUCCCGUGUUCAGGAUUUGGGUCAACAGGCACCUGGCACAGGCAGAGGCCCUCCCCUCUGCGGUGGUAUUCUGAGCGCUCCAGCGACGAGGUGUAGGUGGACAGCUGCUGAAUGGGCCCGGGACUCUGAGCAGCAGCAGCACCCAGCAGGAUGAGCCCGGCUUGUGCAGGAGCGCCUUAAUGAGCUUGGAAACUGGUGGCCCGGGAAUCGCAGCCAACAGCAGUCACAUCAGGAAUGGAAAUAAGAAAGCGCUGGAAGAAAUGAGCAGCCUGGCACGUCUUUCACCAGACGCUCUGGGUGUCCGUUCUGGUCCAUUCCGCUGAGGCCGUGUGACAUGGCAUGUUAUUCAACCCAUUGGCAUCCCAGUCUCCUUGGCUGCAAACUGCUGGUAACAUCCCGUCAGAGCCCCAGAGACCGACAGGGAAGCCUCAGGGAGAGCUUGCUGUGUGUGCCUGCCCCUGUUCUAAGGGCUUUCAUGUACAUUAACUCUGUCAUUAGCAGGAACCCUACAUAAGAUACAUAAUGGUAUGACUAUCAUCUUCCUUAAAGGUGAGAUAACCAAGACAUGGGGAAGCUGAGAACUUGCCCAAAUCACAUACUAGUGUGGAGUCCAGACUUAAACCUGGGCAGCCAGGCUCCGGACUCCAUCCUCAAACCACCUCGUUCGCUUCCUCCAUCAGCCGCGAGAUGCUUUACAAAUAGACGAGCUAAUUCUUAGCUGUGACGGACAUUUCCAGGGGGCCCAUCACCACGUACAUAGGCCCCAUCACCACAUGUUUGUGGUUGCCGGGGCUUUCACGCAGGAAAGGACGGGGCUGAUGGUUGUGUCCACCGCGUGCUGAGCGCCUAGCCUUGAUUCUUACAGAACCGUGGACAAUGCAGGACAGAGAUGCGGAGGACUGGUGACUUGCCACAGCGGGGAGCUCCGAAAUCAAAGAGACUCAUCUGAUUUCAAACUUCCCAGGGCAGGGCAGUGUGACAGCAAAGAGAGGAAGUGAGAGGGGAGGUGGAGAGAGAAAUAAAACAUCAAAGAUGAGAGAGAAGCAUCGAUCGGCUGCCUCCUGCAUGCCCCACACCAGGGAUCGAGCCCACAACCCAGGCAUGCGCCCUGGCUGGGAAAUGAACUAUGACCUCCUCCUGGUUCACAGGUUAACACUCAACCACUGAGCCACACCGGCCGGCGGAUCAUCUUUUAUUAAAGCUUUUAUUUCCUACCCAUUCCCAAUUCCCCACCACUUCCCCAAAACCAACUAAUAAAUCGCCUGUACAAGA
This is a long non-coding RNA of Myotis daubentonii (Daubenton's bat), 3944 nucleotides long. RefSeq lists it as uncharacterized. The transcript has 2 exons. The record is from RefSeq and is a predicted model, not a curated record. Lineage: Eukaryota; Metazoa; Chordata; Mammalia; Chiroptera; Vespertilionidae.